AAUAGAACUUCAUUAAACAUGAUUGUAUGGAAUGAAGAGUCAUGACUGCCAUGUGUUUAUGCAAAUACUCAUCUCAUUAGCUUUUCGUGAUUUGUUUCCAAAGGGAAUAUGGGAUGCACUCACGGAGACCAGUCAUUUCUUAAGAGAUAUAUGCUCCAGCAAGUUGAAUGUUGAUCACAUUGAGAGGCUUCAAACGAAUAUCGUCGAAACACUAUACAAACUUGAGAUGAUAUUCUCUCCAUCAUUUUUUGACUCAAUGGAGCAUCUCCCUAUACAUCUACCGUUCGAGGCAAAAGUUGGAGGACCGGUCCAAUAUAAAUGGAUGUACCCAUUCGAACGGUUAGAUAUUACAGUUGCAAUGUAAUUCAUAUAUAAAAGUAUUUUAUAUGUUUUUCUUAAUUGAAAA
Molecule: long non-coding RNA, 406 nt
Organism: Populus euphratica (Euphrates poplar)
Lineage: Eukaryota; Viridiplantae; Streptophyta; Magnoliopsida; Malpighiales; Salicaceae
Exons: 3
Source: RefSeq, a predicted model, not a curated record